Molecule: ribosomal RNA, 305 nt
Filed under: uncultured bacterium
Lineage: Bacteria
Description: bacterial SSU rRNA
Rfam family: Bacterial small subunit ribosomal RNA
Source: RNAcentral
GAUGAACGCUAGCGGCAGGCCUAAUACAUGCAAGUCAAGGGGCUCAGCAAUGAGCACCGGCGCACGGGUGCGUAACGCGUACACAACCUACCCUCAAGAGGGGGAUAGCGGCGGGAAACUGCCGGUAAUACCCCAUAGUAUUAUUGGAUCACCUGAUUUGAUAAUUAAAGUUACGGCGCUUGAGGAUGGGUGUGCGUAUGAUUAGCUAGUUGGUGAGGUAACGGCUCACCAAGGCUACGAUCAUUAGGGGGUGUGAGAGCAUGACCCCCCACACGGUACGUNAGACACGACCGACUCUACGGAGG